RNAcentral lists this ribosomal RNA (301 nucleotides) under uncultured bacterium. RNAcentral describes it as "partial 16S ribosomal RNA". It matches the Rfam family "Bacterial small subunit ribosomal RNA", at positions 509 to 807 of the family's 1533-position model. The record is from RNAcentral.
CAGUAGCCACGGGAAUACGGAGGGGGCUAGCGUUGUUCGGAAUUACUGGGCGUAAAGCGUACGUAGGCGGCUUUGUAAGUUAGAGGUGAAAGCCUGGUGCUCAACACCAGAACUGCCUUUAAGACUGCAUCGCUUGAACGUCGGAGAGGUGAGUGGAAUUCCGAGUGUAGAGGUGAAAUUCGUAGAUAUUCGGAAGAACACCAGUGGCGAAGGCGGCUCACUGGACGACUGUUGACGCUGAGGUACGAAAGCGUGGGGAGCAAACAGGAUUAGAUACCCCAGUAGUCCCUGUCUCUUAUAC